AUGUGAGAUGCAGUGUAUGGAACAUCAAUAUUCUAGUAUGAGAAAUUAACGAUUUAAGUCCUUCUUAAAUGAGGCCAUUUACCCAUAGAGGGUGCCAGGCCCGUAUAACGUUAAUGAUUACUAGAUGGUGUUUCCAAAGAGUCGUGUUGCUUGAUAGUGCAGCACUAAGUGGGUGGUAAACUCCAUCUAAAACUAAAUAUAACCAUGAGACCGAUAGUAAACAAGUACCGUGAGGGAAAGUUGAAAAGAACUCUGAAUAGAGAGUUAAAUAGUACGUGAAACUGCUUAGAGGUUAAGCCCGAUGAACCUGAAUAUCCGUUAUGGAAAAUUCAUCAUUAGAAUUGUAAUGUUUAAAUAAUAUUAUAAUAAUAGUGUGCAUUUUUUCCAUAUAAGGACAUUGUAAUCUAUUAACAUACUAAUUUAUCAAAAAGUUGUGAAUUAUUGCUUAUUUCAAUUAUGGUGCUUGCAUUAUAACAUAAAAUAAAUUGUCAUGAAUUUGAUAAAGUGUUGAUAGAUUUAUAUGAAUACUGUGCGUUAAUUUUUCGGAAUUAUAUAAUGGCAUAAUUAUCAUUGAUUUUUGUGUUUAUUAUAUGCACAUGUAUGAUAAC
RNAcentral lists this ribosomal RNA (608 nucleotides) under Scaptomyza okadai. RNAcentral's name for it is "eukaryotic LSU rRNA". It matches the Rfam family "Eukaryotic large subunit ribosomal RNA", at positions 136 to 626 of the family's 3401-position model. Lineage: Eukaryota; Metazoa; Arthropoda; Insecta; Diptera; Drosophilidae. The record is from RNAcentral.